GUUCAGCACUGCUGCUACUCUCCCUAGGAGUGGCCGUCCUGUAAAGAUGACUGCAAGAGCACAGCGCAGACUGCUCAAUGAGGUGAAGAAGAAUCCUAAAGUGUCAGCUAAAGACUUACAAAAGUCACUGGCAAAUGCUAACAUCCCUGUUAGCGAAUCUACAAUACGUAAAACACUAAACAAGAAUGGAUUUCAUGGGAGGAUACCACAGAGGAAGCCACUGCUGUCCAAACAAAACAUUGCUGCACGUUUACAGUUUGCACAAGAGCACCUGGAUGUUCCACAGCAGUACUGGCAAAAUAUUCUGUGGACAGAUGAAACCAAAGUUGAGUUGUUUGGAAGAAACACACAACACUAUGUGUGGCGAAAAAAAGGCACAGCACACCAACAUCAAAAC
RNAcentral lists this long non-coding RNA (397 nucleotides) under Pelobates cultripes (western spadefoot toad). The record is from RNAcentral. Lineage: Eukaryota; Metazoa; Chordata; Amphibia; Anura; Pelobatidae.